GUUUCUGUAGCGCAAUCGGUUAGCGCGUUCGGCCGUUAACCGAAAAGUUGGUGGUUCAAUCCUUCGAAGGAACG
Non-coding RNA from Nematostella vectensis (starlet sea anemone), 74 nucleotides. Lineage: Eukaryota; Metazoa; Cnidaria; Anthozoa; Actiniaria; Edwardsiidae. The record is from Rfam.